AUUGAACGCUGGCGGCAGGCUUAACACAUGCAAGUCGAGCGGGCGAGGUUGCUUCGGUAACUGAGCUAGCGGCGGACGGGUGAGUAAAGCUUAGGAAUCUGCCUAUUAGUGGGGGACAAUAUUUCGAAAGGGAUGCUAAUACCGCAUACGUCCUACGGGAGAAAGCAGGGGAUCACUUGUGACCUUGCGCUAAUAGAUGAGCCUAAGUCGGAUUAGCUAGUUGGUGGGGUAAAGGCCUACCAAGGCGACGAUCUGUAGCGGGUCUGAGAGGAUGAUCCGCCACACUGGGACUGAGACACGGCCCAGACUCCUACGGGAGGCAGCAGUGGGGAAUAUUGGACAAUGGGGGGAACCCUGAUCCAGCCAUGCCGCGUGUGUGAAGAAGGCCUUUUGGUUGUAAAGCACUUUAAGUGGGGAGGAGGCUCUCUUGGUUAAUACCUGAGAAGAGUGGACGUUACCCACAGAAUAAGCACCGGCUAACUCUGUGCCAGCAGCCGCGGUAAUACAGAGGGUGCGAGCGUUAAUCGGAUUUACUGGGCGUAAAGCGCGCGUAGGUGGUUAAUUAAGUCAAAUGUGAAAUCCCCGAGCUUAACUUGGGAAUUGCAUUCGAUACUGGUUAGCUAGAGUAUGGGAGAGGAUGGUAGAAUUCCAGGUGUAGCGGUGAAAUGCGUAGAGAUCUGGAGGAAUACCGAUGGCGAAGGCAGCCAUCUGGCCUAAUACUGACACUGAGGUGCGAAAGCAUGGGGAGCAUACAGG
Molecule: ribosomal RNA, 756 nt
Filed under: uncultured Acinetobacter sp.
Lineage: Bacteria; Pseudomonadati; Pseudomonadota; Gammaproteobacteria; Moraxellales; Moraxellaceae
Description: bacterial SSU rRNA
Rfam family: Bacterial small subunit ribosomal RNA
Source: RNAcentral